RNAcentral lists this ribosomal RNA (415 nucleotides) under Escherichia coli. Its description in RNAcentral is "bacterial SSU rRNA". It matches the Rfam family "Bacterial small subunit ribosomal RNA", at positions 500 to 919 of the family's 1533-position model. The record is from RNAcentral. Lineage: Bacteria; Pseudomonadati; Pseudomonadota; Gammaproteobacteria; Enterobacterales; Enterobacteriaceae.
ACAGUGCCAGCAGCCGCGGUAAUACGAAGGUGGCAAGCGUUGUUCGGAUUUACUGGGCGUACAGGGAGCGUAGGCGGUUGGAUAAGCCCUCCGUGAAAUCUCCAGGCUUAACCUGGAAAGUGCAGAGGGGACUGUUCAGCUAGAGGAUGGGAGAGGAGCGCGGAAUUCCCGGUGUAGCGGUGAAAUGCGUAGAGAUCGGGAGGAAGGCCGGUGGCGAAGGCGGCGCUCUGGAACAUUUCUGACGCUGAGGCUCGAAAGCGUGGGGAGCAAACAGGAUUAGAUACCCUGGUAGUCCACGCCUUAAACGAUGGAUACUAAGUGUCGGCGGGUUACCGCCGGUGCCGCAGCUAACGCAGUAAGUAUCCCGCCUGGGAAGUACGGCCGCAAGGUUGAAACUCAAAUGAAUUGACGGGUG